Molecule: long non-coding RNA, 664 nt
Filed under: Daucus carota (carrot)
Lineage: Eukaryota; Viridiplantae; Streptophyta; Magnoliopsida; Apiales; Apiaceae
Description: long non-coding RNA (DCAR_LNC000335)
Source: RNAcentral
CUUACUGCAAUAAUAUUGCGAAAUCAUCAUAAAAGCAAUAGCAUUUUUUUUUUUCUCCAACAAAAAACCAUAUUACACACAUAUAAAGUCUACUUUCAUUCUUUAAUACAAACCAUACUUAAAACGUGUCAUUACUAGGUGACAUAUAACAAAACAUAUAACUAGGCCAUCCCCAGGUCAAAGUAGCCAUAUGUACAUCAUCGAGGCGAGGUUCUGCUUCAGCUCGGUCCCACUUCUAUUUAUGUUUAUCUUUACCCUUUCCUGCAACACAAGAAAACUAUGAGCUACGUCGCUCAGUAAGUAAAGUAACUGAAGAUAAUUUAACACACAUAAGUAAUUCAACAUGUAUAAGUGCAUUCCAUCUUAUCUUUAUUAUUUAUGAACCUUGACACUUUAAAUUAGUGCACCAUGUUGACACAUUUGCCUGCAGGGCUUUCGUAUAACAUAAUAUCCCAUGGGAAACCUCCUCAGGCGCCAUUACCAACAGAGUGGCUCGUUGUAUACCUUAUUCUAUCGUUGCCCCGUCGAGCUCAAGACCUAAGGCGGCCUUGCUCUGUGGUAUCUGAUCACAUAGAUCUUAACAACAUAGAGGAGGCAAGAUCAACUCAUAUUCGAUAAUCGAACCUGGCCUGCCCUUAAAGGGCUACCCUUACAAGCCUACAAA